Molecule: ribosomal RNA, 1118 nt
Filed under: Escherichia coli
Lineage: Bacteria; Pseudomonadati; Pseudomonadota; Gammaproteobacteria; Enterobacterales; Enterobacteriaceae
Description: partial 23S ribosomal RNA
Rfam family: Bacterial large subunit ribosomal RNA
Source: RNAcentral
CGGGACACGUGGUAUCCUGUCUGAAUAUGGGGGGACCAUCCUCCAAGGCUAAAUACUCCUGACUGACCGAUAGUGAACCAGUACCGUGAGGGAAAGGCGAAAAGAACCCCGGCGAGGGGAGUGAAAAAGAACCUGAAACCGUGUACGUACAAGCAGUGGGAGCACGCUUAGGCGUGUGACUGCGUACCUUUUGUAUAAUGGGUCAGCGACUUAUAUUCUGUAGCAAGGUUAACCGAAUAGGGGAGCCGAAGGGAAACCGAGUCUUAACUGGGCGUUAAGUUGCAGGGUAUAGACCCGAAACCCGGUGAUCUAGCCAUGGGCAGGUUGAAGGUUGGGUAACACUAACUGGAGGACCGAACCGACUAAUGUUGAAAAAUUAGCGGAUGACUUGUGGCUGGGGGUGAAAGGCCAAUCAAACCGGGAGAUAGCUGGUUCUCCCCGAAAGCUAUUUAGGUAGCGCCUCGUGAAUUCAUCUCCGGGGGUAGAGCACUGUUUCGGCAAGGGGGUCAUCCCGACUUACCAACCCGAUGCAAACUGCGAAUACCGGAGAAUGUUAUCACGGGAGACACACGGCGGGUGCUAACGUCCGUCGUGAAGAGGGAAACAACCCAGACCGCCAGCUAAGGUCCCAAAGUCAUGGUUAAGUGGGAAACGAUGUGGGAAGGCCCAGACAGCCAGGAUGUUGGCUUAGAAGCAGCCAUCAUUUAAAGAAAGCGUAAUAGCUCACUGGUCGAGUCGGCCUGCGCGGAAGAUGUAACGGGGCUAAACCAUGCACCGAAGCUGCGGCAGCGACACUAUGUGUUGUUGGGUAGGGGAGCGUUCUGUAAGCCUGUGAAGGUGUACUGUGAGGUAUGCUGGAGGUAUCAGAAGUGCGAAUGCUGACAUAAGUAACGAUAAAGCGGGUGAAAAGCCCGCUCGCCGGAAGACCAAGGGUUCCUGUCCAACGUUAAUCGGGGCAGGGUGAGUCGACCCCUAAGGCGAGGCCGAAAGGCGUAGUCGAUGGGAAACAGGUUAAUAUUCCUGUACUUGGUGUUACUGCGAAGGGGGGACGGAGAAGGCUAUGUUGGCCGGGCGACGGUUGUCCCGGUUUAAGCGUGUAGGCUGGUUUUCCAGGCAAA